Molecule: long non-coding RNA, 1648 nt
Organism: Hyaena hyaena (striped hyena)
Lineage: Eukaryota; Metazoa; Chordata; Mammalia; Carnivora; Hyaenidae
Exons: 3
Source: RefSeq, a predicted model, not a curated record
UCACCAUUCUGACAACAAGCCUCAGCUGCUUCCUUUAUAAUGACUACGACGUUGUUCUGGGUGAGCAGAAGCCCUCGCCCCCACCCUAAUCAAAGAACGGUUACAGAGAUGAUAAGGAUAAUGAACGCUUGGUUGAGCUCACUGUUCGUCAAGUCUCCCUAGAGUGGCCUGUGGGGGCCAGAGUGGGGACAUAAUAAAUCACGGUGUUCAUGUCUGAUAAACAUCGUAUACCCCAGACCUCCGGUGACUCUAACCUGCAACCGUUGGUGCUGGGCGUGGCCCCAGGAAGCAGGAAAUUAAGUGAGGGUUUGGAAGUGGAUCACAUGCCACCAGGCUGGCCACGAUGACCGCAUCACUGGUGCACCACUAUCUGAGGACUUACAGAGUGUUUGACCCACCAGCACCAGAUCCCACGUUGUGUCAGACAGGGGAACUGACUUCACCGGAAAGGAGGUGUGGAAAUGGGCAAUGACCAUGGGAUCCACUCACCAUGUCGCCCAGAAGCUGCCAGCCUGAUGGGGCUGGAACAGGCUGCCGAAGACAGAGCUGAAGUGCCAGCUAGAGAUAGUAUUCUGUGAGGACGCAGCCUCCAGAGCACAACAUGUGCAUUGAACCCAAGUCUUUGGGGAGCUUGGUAUUCCCAACAGGAAGAGUAAAUAAGUCCAGAUAGCCUCAUCUACCCUUUUCGGAGGGACUUUGUGUUUCCUGUCCCCACAUUGCUGGGCUUUGCAGGGCUGGAGGAUCUCAGCCCCAAAGAGGACUCACUUUGUCAGGGGACCCAGCAAGAGUGCGUUGAAUCAUAAGCUACAGCUAUUGCCCAAACACUUUGGGGUUCUGUCUGGGCACUGGCAGGCGAGAAGGGAAGUCACCAUUUGGGCAGGAGUAAUUGACCCUGGUCAUCAGGAGCUGGUAAGGCUAUUAUUGCACAACGGGGCAGGGAGAAAAAUGUGCCCAAUCGUGACUGUAAAUGGACAAGUACAGGAGCCUGGCCAGAGAAGGAAAUGGUGACCAGAGCUGAGGUCCCUCAUUGAUGGGGGCCAAGGUCGAGCCCCCAGGUAAGACUCCAAAGCCAGAAGAUGUGGUAGCCAAGAGUUUGAGGGAUCUAGACUGGACAGCAUAGGCGAAAAAUGAUAUAGAUCAAUUGUUGCCCAAACCCAAUUGUAGAGAUGGAGGCAGACUCUGUUCCUCACAAAGUGUACCUCAAGAGGAGAGGCCAGUGGAAUACAGGGGAAGUUGCUUUCUUGAUGCCCGUGAAGAAUGGCUCCAAGCAGCACAAGGAGAUGAGGGACGUGGAGAUACACAGCCCAGGAUCUCCCUUCAAGGAAGAACUGAGGUGCAGCCCAGCUGCAGGAAGAGGGGUACAUGGAUGGCCUGUAGCUGUCCUUUUCUUCAGAGCUGUCACAGCUGCAGAGAGCCACGUCACCGGAGUGUACGCCUUUCUCUGGUGCCCAGUAAGGCGGAAGUAUAGAGACCCAGCCCUUCCAACCCAGUGCAGGACACUGAUGGGCAAUACACACUUCAGGGCUCCCCAUCAGGCUGAAAGCUUUGUGACACUAUAUCACAGUUCAACCUCUGCCCAAUCUUGCUUCCCCCCUCCCACCCGAUCCUUUUAUAAGUAUGGACCCCUAAUAAACAUUCCCCCAAUUUC